CAAGCGUGUCAGUUUAUGGAAGGAUUUGAUAGAUUUGAUCUAGUUUAUGGAAAGAUUUGGUCCAGUGGCAAUUUGGUAAUUUCUGUCAAGUUUGGAGUGUCGUUUUUUUUGCGUUUUCGGAGCCUAAUUUCAUUGGAAACAGGUCAACGGUCAAAAGUCACAAGCGCUUUGCUCGUGAACUGCAGUGUUUCUUGGUCAAAUUCUAUCGUUUAGGCCUUUAAAAUUACAUUUUAU
Molecule: long non-coding RNA, 234 nt
Filed under: Panax ginseng (ginseng)
Lineage: Eukaryota; Viridiplantae; Streptophyta; Magnoliopsida; Apiales; Araliaceae
Description: long non-coding RNA (PGIN_LNC002493)
Source: RNAcentral